GAUGAACGCUGGCGGCGUGCCUAAUACAUGCAAGUCGAGCGAACGGACGAGAAGCUUGCUUUUCUGAUGUUAGCGGCGGACGGGUGAGUAACACGUGGAUAACCUACCUAUAAGACUGGGAUAACUUCGGGAAACCGGAGCUAAUACCGGAUAAUAUUUUGAACCGCAUGGUUCAAAAGUGAAAGACGGUCUUGCUGUCACUUAUAGAUGGAUCCGCGCUGCAUUAGCUAGUUGGUAAGGUAACGGCUUACCAAGGCAACGAUGCAUAGCCGACCUGAGAGUGUGAUCGGACACAGUGCAAACGAGACACGGUCCAGACACUCAGAAGGAGCAGGAGUAGGUAAACUACGAGAAACAGCGAAAGCCUGCCGGAACAAAGCCGCGUACGUGAUGAAAGUCUACGAAUCGUAAGACUCUGUUAUUAGGGAAGAACAUAGCUGUAAAACAGAGUGCACAUCUUGACGGUGCCGAAUCAAAAAGGGAAGGCUACCAACUUG
RNAcentral lists this ribosomal RNA (497 nucleotides) under uncultured bacterium. Its description in RNAcentral is "partial 16S ribosomal RNA". It matches the Rfam family "Bacterial small subunit ribosomal RNA", at positions 28 to 507 of the family's 1533-position model. The record is from RNAcentral.